UUCCAUGCAUAAAGUUGGCUCUGUGUGCUAGUGUGUGUGUGCAUAAGAAAGCAGUGCAUGCUUGGAUCUGUUUGUCAGUUCUUGCUGGCCCUUUGUGUGUGUGUGUGUGUGGUGUGUGUGUGUGUGUGUGAGAGAGAGAGAGAGAGAGAGAGAGACUGAGUUAAGUCAGAAUCUAGGUAAAAGCAGUAAAGUGACAUUUGCAUAGCAGGACCUUGUGCUCCAAUUGAAAUUGUGGCUCUGAACCAUGCACAUGUACCACGUUUACCCUCCAUAUACACACACACACACACACACACACACACACACACACACACACACACACACAUACACAAACAAGCUCCACUGUACUCAGCUGGGCUCAACAUAGCUCAGUCGCACCUCUCUCACCCCCAGCCUUUACCUCUUAACUAGGCUGAGUCAUCUGGAAGCAUGGUGUACUUAAAAGCACAUGGUUUCUUAAGAAGGGUGUGAGAACAUUUUCCACUGGUGUGUGUGUGUGUGUGUCUCUCACUAGACUGUUUCUCUAGUGCUAUGUGGAUGUGACUUCAUUUUGGUGAUUUGCACCUUUACUGUUUGCACUGCUUGUGUGUGUGUGUGUGUGUCCUGUGUGUGUAUUGUGACGGGAGGGGUUUGUGCCACAAGUAGGCUAUCCUUUCUGGGGAUGCAGCAGAUGUGCCUGAUGAUACUUCUGUGUCUUUCCUAGUGGAGCAGUGGAGCUUUGUGCACCUUUUUCAUGGUUGGAACUAGUGCUUUUUGCACCUUUUUUUGUAGAGGACCUUAGGGGGCCAUGCACCUUUAUUUUGUAGAUUCAAAGUGAGAUGGUUUCUGGACUAAACCAAUGGAACUGAGUGCAUGAGAGUUUGUUUGUGUGUGUUUGUGCGAGUGAGUGAGUGAGUGAGUGUGUGUGUGUGUGUGUGUGUGUGUGUGUGUGAGUGUGACUGCCAGAGGCUCCUUGAAAGCAGGACCCAGUCUUGUCAUUGAGAACGAGUUGUAGUGAUACACGGUGUAAAUAUCGACAGGAUUGUUGAACUGAUUUUUACAGUGUUUUAGACUUCUUUUUUUUUUUUUGUAGGACUUGUGAGUGUCAAGGAUUCUUUUUUUUUAUUUACAUUUUUUUAGGUGUCCUUUUCCCCUCCUUCUUUUUCUAGUUUUAGUUCCUAGAUGUUUCUUUUUCUUUUCCUUGUUUUUUGGAAACGUGUAUAGAUUAAAGAUACUGAGUGGAGGCUUCUUGCUUCCCAGCAUGCAUCAGGCUAGAGAAUCAGACCACAGCCAGGCCUAUGGGUCCAUUAGUUGGUCUCCAUGGUGAGAAAAACAGUCCGGUUAGGCUGUCUGAACAGUAGACUUCAUCACAUGAUCCUUUUAGUCUUGUUUACUCUGUGACUGAACUGAAUGGUUACUACAGAUUGUUUGGUUUUUUUUCUAGAUGUUCAUGAGCUGCAUGAAUGUAUGCCGGAGGUCCUUCAGUUUAUUACCUGCGUAUUCCUCUCCCUUUUAAUAACUCCGUUUUUGUUUUUGUUGUCGUUUUUUUUUUUUUUUUUUCAACCAAGCUUGUAGAACGUGUACUGUACUGUACUCUAUAGAAAGAGAAAGAGAGAAAUCUACUAACACAUGGUUGAGUUACCAAUUGUUUGUUUUGUUUUUGCAAAAGGAAAAAAAAAAGGAAAAUAAGAUAAGAUAUGAUAUGGGGGGGGAAAAGUAUAGGACAGAGCAUUUGCCUAUUUUUUCAUUUUUGAUAAGGAUUCAAGUGCUGAAUUUGUGUAGGGAACGGGGAGCUUUAAGAGAGAUUAUGGUGCUAUUGGAAGGUCACUUGAAGCUGGCCCACGUUUGGUGACAUUUCAUAUAUCUGAGGUGUUCUUAACCCAAAUUGUUUCUCCCCCCCCCCCCCCCCCCUCCCCCUACUGUCUGGUACUGGCACAUUUUAAAGCAUUUCCUGCACCCCCCAAGGUAACUCCAAUCUUGUCUAGGGAACGUUUGUCUGGCUGUAUAAGUACUGUGUUUGUUUUGGUGGUGUCUCCACACACACACACACACACACACACCCUCCCCCCCAACCACCCAUCCCCCCCCCCUGCUUCUGUUGAGGUGCCUAGGUGUGUGAACGGCUCACCUCCUAUAUUAGUCCCCUCAAGCAUCACCUCAGACAUGGCUCUGUAGUGCCACUCGUGGGAUGCCACUGGAUUGACAGCCUCCAUUUUGAUGGCACGGAUCCGAUCUGCCGCAUGGUGUGCCGCCUGAGGGAGAAAGGGGGGCAGUAGGCUGGCAAUGGAUCCGUGUGUCUCUGUUGCCAUCUGGUGUUUUUUUAUUGUAAUUGCAGUUCACCUCGGUGUUCUUCUUUUCCGAUCACCUUUAGAGGGCACUACAAGCUAACGUAAAGAGUGCCGCUAGAGUGGAGUGGUUGGCUUUAUGAUCAAAGUUCGUAUGUGCGGUGGCGUUUUUGUGUGUGUUGAUUUCUUUUUUUUGCACCCUAGUUGUACUCUCAUUUUUUGAGUUUCGGAUUAUGUUUCAUACUUUUAAUAUAUAUUUGUGUUUCCUAUGGGUGUUUAAAGUUUAAAAGAUCAUCUUCCAAGUGACCCGUGCAAAUCAAUCCAAAGUGAGCUAGGGUGGAACCGUACAACCAUUGAGUGUGAAUGUGUGUGUGUGUGUGUGUGCGGAACCGAGCUUUCUCGUCAAAAAAAGGAGAUGACGUUUUGACGGGUAUGCACCUUCCCCUCCCUCCCCUCUGGAGAAGCACCUUUUUGGGGGUUCCAUUAUAAACGUCUACCCCCUUCUGGCACCUUGCAAUCACUCCGUGUGUGUGGAGGGUAGGGGAAGGCCAGGCUGCUUAGGCUAGCCUGUGUUUGGCUGUGACUGAGUGAAUGUUAUGAUUUGGGGAUUGUUCAUUUCUUAUUUUUAAUUUUAAUUUUUUUUUUUUUUUUUCAAUUUCGUGUUUCUAAGACAUCUUUCCAAUCUCCAAACUAAGGCAGGUCCUUUUUAAAGGGUAAUGUUGUAGUGAGGCUUAAUGAUCUGACUGUGACCUGAGAUAUAUAAAAAAAAAAAAAAAAAAAGACAGACGAGAGAGAAAGGGGGGUGUCUAAUGAGGAAAAGGGUUGGAGCUGACCGAUGUUCUACCUCUCUCUCAUUUUCAAAUGCAGUCAUUUGGGUCUUUUCGUUCACCUCUUGGGUGUACUCUUCCACAGAUACCCUUUUCCUAAACCUGAUUUAGGGGGUCUGGGCAGAAUCUUUGGCAGAGAUCCACACAUCACAUGUGGACUCCUUAUGCAGCCAGAGGUAUCAUUCACUGACUUACGGAGGUGUGCUCGAGAUUAUGUGUGGCUGUGUGGAGCACAUCCGCUUCGCUCCUCACCUAUCCAGGUAGGAGCCUUGGCUAGUUUAACCCCUGACGUGCAGAAUUUGCUCACAGUACAUGGAAAGUUGCAGGGCAGUUUCAAAACAACAACAACAACAGCAUCUCGUGCGUUGGUAUGCUAUAGAAUGAAAAUAACAGUCGAAGAAAUGAAUGGUAGUAUUAUCAAGCUAACCUCAGACAGGAAAGUACAAAACUGCUUGCUGAAGCACACACUGACAGACAAGGCUAAACAAAAUAUGGGGUGUUGAUUUGUUUUUGUUUGUUUGUUUUUUUGUAAGAUGCAACCUCUUUGGCGGUGUGUCUGGGGGGUCAACAGAUCCCAGAUUCACUCUUUAUAUAAAUAUAUAGAGAUAUACAUAUAUAAAUAUAUAUACUGUAUAUUAUACAUAGAAGCACUACUGAAGUUUGAUUGUUCAUUGUGCACUCACAGCAUGAAGUGUAACCCAGAAACCACGCUUUUGGAAACCAAUGCAGUGGCGUCUACUGAUGUCAAAGAACCCACCCCACCCCCUUACACGUGCCGUAACCCCUAGCUGUGAUUUCCCCCCCAUUUUCCCACCCCAGUAAAAGCCAGUGCUCAUUCCGUUUAUCAUGUGUUUCAAAGUGCCAAUAACUUUGUGAAUCCCUAACUGUGACCCAAUAUUAUUCAAAGUAAUUGCACAUUAACUACUGUAAAGGAUCAAAAUGAAAACAAAAAUGAUAAAUCUGAAUAUCUUAAUAAUAAAAAAAAAAGGUUUGUAACAAACUGAAGGUGCUGCAUGUCUUUGUCCAUCUUGAAGGUUUGUCGUUACUGUUAGCUGCGUUUGUGUAGUGCGUAGACCGGCUGUGAUCCAGUCCUCCAUGGCAACAUCUCCACCUGGUGCCGUAGCUGGUCACGAUGACCCUGUGCAAGAUCCCAGGCACUUCUUGUUUCUCAGGUUACCCGCUCAUCACAGCGUACACUGAGGCCUGGAGGCUUGGCUCAAAUGCAGGCCCUUUGUUGGGCAAGCUUCCUCCUC
Clupea harengus (Atlantic herring) is the source of this 4344-nucleotide long non-coding RNA. The record is from Ensembl. NCBI's taxonomy places the organism in Eukaryota, Metazoa, Chordata, Actinopteri, Clupeiformes, Clupeidae.